GGAGCAACCCAAAACGAGAGUGCGCUUUGGCUACACACCCACCGACCAUGAACAGGACCAGCAAGAGUGAGCAGCGUGUGUUUAUUUUUUCCUCUCGGUCGCAAUUUGAAAAAGGAGGAUUACAUAUCUUGGACUACUAGCAUGGACUUCAUUUAUAAGUAAAGCGGACGAGGAGGAGGAGGCAGAGGACGAAGAUGUAUCCAUGGCUUCGGCUUUGCACCCAUCUCCAGAUACAUCCUCCUUCUUUAUCUGGAACAGAGACUGGAUGUAUUCUUCUCUGGGACAAACAGGCUCAACUUUGCCCGUCUUCCCGAGAGCCUUGCCCUCCUCUUGGCUUUCCGCGCCGUCCUCCUCUUCCUCGUCCUCCUGCUUUUUCACUUCCAUUUUGCCAUCCUCUUGGCCGGGACCGGGACAGUCCGGGGGGGCGAGCUGGGAGCCGGGAUUAGCGCCGCUGCUGACAGAGGCUGGAGAAGACGCCUGAGCGUCUGCUGUUACAGGAGGCUUUGGAGACGCCUGCAAAGCAACCGGGGUUAAAAGAUCAGGAGACAAACUAAAAAAAUAAAGAUAAAAAAAUCACGUGGAGCCUCGAUUUACGGACUUUCCGAUCGAGCCAAAUAUGUCACGUUCAUUCAUUUUGUGUGCCGCCUGCAGCCAGUUUUGGGUGGGGUGGCUGCCCUGAACACUUCUCAAUGUGUGUGUGUCCCUUCUAGGGAUGAUGUUCGUUAAGAAAUUAUCGAGUUCGAGCCCAUUAUCGAAUCCUCUCAUCGAAUCGAAUCCAGAUAGGUUGUUGUGUGUGCACUGAGUUCCAAAAGCCAUAGAUCAGGGGUCACCAACCUUUUAGAAACCAAGAGCUACUUCUUGGGUACUGAUUAAUGCAAAGGGCUACCAGUUUAAUACACACAUAAAUAAAUUGCCAGAAAUAGCCAAUUUGCUCAA
Nerophis ophidion (straightnose pipefish) is the source of this 936-nucleotide long non-coding RNA. RefSeq lists it as uncharacterized. Lineage: Eukaryota; Metazoa; Chordata; Actinopteri; Syngnathiformes; Syngnathidae. The record is from RefSeq and is a predicted model, not a curated record. The transcript has 3 exons.